RNAcentral lists this ribosomal RNA (253 nucleotides) under uncultured bacterium. RNAcentral's name for it is "partial 16S ribosomal RNA". It matches the Rfam family "Bacterial small subunit ribosomal RNA", at positions 524 to 776 of the family's 1533-position model. The record is from RNAcentral.
UACGGAGGGUGCAAGCGUUAUCCGGAUUCACUGGGUUUAAAGGGAGCGUAGGUGGGUUGGUAAGUCAGUGGUGAAAUCCCCGAGCUUAACUUGGGAACUGCCAUUGAUACUAUCAGUCUUGAAUAUUGUGGAGGUUAGCGGAAUAUGUCAUGUAGCGGUGAAAUGCUUAGAUAUGACACAGAACACCGAUUGCGAAGGCAGCUCACUAAGCCAUAACUGACGCUGAUGCACGAAAGCGUGGGGAGCAAACAGG